This 93-nucleotide transfer RNA is filed under the name Synergistaceae bacterium. Its description in RNAcentral is "tRNA-Ser". It matches the Rfam family "tRNA". From Rfam's summary of the family: Transfer RNA (tRNA) molecules are approximately 80 nucleotides in length. The record is from RNAcentral. Lineage: Bacteria; Thermotogati; Synergistota; Synergistia; Synergistales; Synergistaceae.
GGAGGGGUGGCCGAGUGGUCGAAGGCGGGCGACUCGAAAUCGUCUUGGCGGUGAUGAGCUGUCACGUGGGUUCAAAUCCCACCCUCUCCGCCA